UUUGAUGUCUACAUCCUGCUGAACUUGGU
This 29-nucleotide non-coding RNA is filed under the name Rattus norvegicus (Norway rat). Lineage: Eukaryota; Metazoa; Chordata; Mammalia; Rodentia; Muridae. The record is from RNAcentral.